This is a non-coding RNA of Macaca mulatta (Rhesus monkey), 1015 nucleotides long. The record is from RefSeq and is a predicted model, not a curated record. Lineage: Eukaryota; Metazoa; Chordata; Mammalia; Primates; Cercopithecidae.
CUGUGUGUCCACCGUGGAUCCUAAUAUCCAGGGAGGGAAAUUACUCCCCAAGACGUGGGGGGUGUCCACCCCACCUGUCACAUUGUUUCCUGUACCCAGGGAGGAGAGGAUUAUAUCGCUACCAAUAUCAAAGAAGUGUACACGUCCCCUGUGAUAUGGUUCCUAAUAUCUUCGUUGGGAGAGGAUGAUAUUACUCUCAAUAUCACAGGGGUUGUCCAUCCCGCCUGAGAUAUUGUUCCUACUAUCCAGAAUAAGAGAGAAUGAUAUUACUUCCAAUAGUGCACGGCGUGUCCCCCGCCAUGUGAUAUUGUUCUCAAGAGCUAAAGGAAGAGAAGAGAAUAGUAUUCUUUGUACUGCCGGGGGUGUACAACCAACUGCGAUAUUGUGAGGCACCCCUUGUGAAAACAAGAAAGACUGGAAUUUGAUGAGACUCCAGUACCACCUGGGCAGCUCUGCCUUCCCCACAGUCUCUCCAGCUCCCUUUUCUGUCCCGUGGGUGUAGGAGAACAGCUCUCCGCAGCAGGGUCCCACCCAGGGCUUCAGAGGACUUGAUGGAUUCACUCUUUCCUUCUGUUAGCAACACCAGGCACGGCUCUCUGCUGCGGAUACUAACAAAACAUUUUCUCUGUUUAAUUUCUGAAAGGAAUUUCUCUGGGAUUUCCUGAACCAUCAGGAGGGUCCCCGCAUAAGAGAUCAUUUAAGCCACGGGGAGAUCAACUUACAUGAAUUUUCAAAAGAAACAACUAAUCAGUUGCUUGCAUUUUCUGUUGUACUGUUACUCAGAUCUGUUGAUGAAGGUCUACUAUCAGUUUUUAAGCUGCAAAAAAUUGUUUGAAGAAAGAUAAUGAGAAAUGGGGACUCUAAUUGGCCUACAGUUCGAUAGAAGAAAACUAAGUCUACCCAAACACGAUAGUAGCCACUGUUUUCUCUAAACUAGGAAAAAGCAGCAGUAGAAUUGUUGAUUAGUCUUGCAGAAGGCUAUAGUUCUCGCUGCCAUCCGGUUUUUCAGCCUAAA